RNAcentral lists this ribosomal RNA (492 nucleotides) under uncultured bacterium. RNAcentral describes it as "partial 16S ribosomal RNA". It matches the Rfam family "Bacterial small subunit ribosomal RNA", at positions 28 to 507 of the family's 1533-position model. The record is from RNAcentral.
GAUGAACGCUAGCUACAGGCUUAACACAUGCAAGUCGAGGGGAAACGACAUCGAAAGCUUGCUUUUGAUGGGCGUCGACCGGCGCACGGGUGAGUAACGCGUAUCCAACCUGCCCAUCACUUGGGAAUAACCUUGCGAAAGUAAGACUAAUACCCAAUGACAUCCCACGAAGACAUCUGAAUGGGAUUAAAGAUUUAUCGGUGAUGGAUGGGGAUGCGUCUGAUUAGCUUGUUGGCGGGGUAACGGCCCACCAAGGCAACGAUCAGUAGGGGUUCUGAGAGGAAGCUCCCCCACAUUGGAACUGAGACACGGUCCAAACUCCUACGGGAGGCAGCAGUGAGGAAUAUUGGUCGAUGGGCGAGAGCCUGAACCAGCCAAGUAGCGUGCAGGAUGACGGCCCUAUGGGUUGUAAACUGCUUUUAUAAGGGAAUAAAGUGGGUCUCGUGAGACUUUUUGCAUGUACCUUAUGAAUAAGGACCGGCUAAUUCCGUG